GGAGUAAACCUCCUUAGGGAGUCAANCNNCUGCUGUACGCUGAUCAAGCGUGCCGCCCACAGAUCAAACACGAGUGACUGUCUCCUUUUCCCUUUCGGAAGGUCUUACUCCUUUCGAAAGUCUAUAGCGAGUCGGUUAAGAUAUGACCGUAGCAGCUCCGCAAGGAGGUGAUAAAACUAGUUCCGUAGGUGAACCUGCGGAAGGAU
Molecule: ribosomal RNA, 206 nt
Filed under: Mycoblastus alpinus
Lineage: Eukaryota; Fungi; Ascomycota; Lecanoromycetes; Lecanorales; Mycoblastaceae
Description: partial 18S ribosomal RNA
Source: RNAcentral